UUGAACGUCCUUUGGUGUCAACACGGCAGGU
Molecule: non-coding RNA, 31 nt
Filed under: Mus musculus (house mouse)
Lineage: Eukaryota; Metazoa; Chordata; Mammalia; Rodentia; Muridae
Source: RNAcentral